Long non-coding RNA from Lagopus muta (rock ptarmigan), 1890 nucleotides. RefSeq lists it as uncharacterized. Lineage: Eukaryota; Metazoa; Chordata; Aves; Galliformes; Phasianidae. The transcript has 6 exons. The record is from RefSeq and is a predicted model, not a curated record.
UAGCAGCUGAGGGAGCAGUGUUUCUCUGAGUCAAGACUGCACUUGUCUCAAGUUAUCAGUGGUUGUUGGAGGAGUUCUCUUUUUCGUUGAAUUUGGACUGAGAAAAAGAAUAGAGAGCAAGCUACAGAUGGGCGGUUCCCAUAAUCUCCUGAAGAAUGAACAUGUAUCCAUGUAUUUGACUUAAAAGAGCUUUCUAUCAAGACCUGUUUCUUGCUAGCACAGGUGUGGGUCUGCGGGUCCGUCCACCCAAUUAUUCAUGGAAAUGGGCCAUGGAGUUGCAUGAGAGAAGAUUGACAAGAGUACUGCUGCAUAUAUGGAUACUCAGAGAAGGAGUGGGUAGUUGCAGACAAAUUUGGAGACCAGUGCUCAAGUCAACCAGAAAAUAUUAGCAGUGGAGGAGAAACAUUGGUGGUGUAAGCCUCUGUGGCCAGACAUUAUAAGGAGUUCCUAAUGGAAGUUCAGCAAAUGUGAUGGCAAUAACAGAUCGCCAAAAACUGCUUUCUUAUGCUGACAGAACAGGAGCAAUCAGGACUCUCAUGUGUCCAUUCUACUUUUGCUGCUCUGCACAUAAUGAAUGUAGUUAAGUUCACUCUGCUCAAAGUACGUGUCUCAGCCAGACUACCACAAGAAGCCUUUUGAAAGGAACAACUGAAUGUUGCCAUCCUGUAUUGUACUCUGCUAGGACACAUAUAUUUAUGUAUGAUAGCUAUGGUUUAUUAAAAGCUAUGAUUUUUGUAGUAGGUCAUUCUUCCUCUUUUAAUCUUUCAAUAUAGACUUCUGAUCAGAUCCUUCUUCAUUCUUGUAGUUCGGUAGCAAUUUAUCUACCUUCUUGUGGCAUAUGGGUUAAGAUUAUCGUAUACUCAUGAUGGUAGCCUUAAUUGUCAUCCAUAUCUAAUUAUUUUAUAGUCUGAAAUCCUCUUGUAUUUUGUCCUGGUUGUGCAACUGUAUUCACAUAUUCACUAAGCCAAAUGUACUUUGUAUUCAGAAAAAUUACAUAGCACUUAUUAGAAAAUACAUUAUUUUGAGCAUGAAAUGGAAAAUGAACAAGUUGCCAAUUAACACUAAAAUACAUGAGAGCACAAAUGUCAGCAAAUAAGUUCAAGAUGUUGAAUUACUAGCAAGGUAAUACUUAUUGGACAAGAUCUGUCUGGAAGCAAAUAGUAAGGGACUUGCCAUUAAUUGAUUCUAGAGAAACUCUUAGUACAAUAAAUGGAGUUAGUCCUCCAAAACCCCAUACUGUAAACUGGGCAGGCCUGUUGUAUGAAUUUGUACAUGUGACUUAUGGAAAGUUCAAGUGAUCAUUGCAGCAGUCAUGGUGCCUCUUUCAGCACUUCUAUUUGAUUUCCUCUGCUCUGGUUGUGAAACACUUUGCUUCCGAGGGCAAAAGGAUUUGGAACAUUAUUGAACAUGAGGUAGGAAUAAGAAGUGCAAAAGAAAGUUUUGGAAAAAUCGGGUUAAAUAAUCCCACUACAGGAAAUGACAGUUAUUCCUUAAAUCAUUAACUCAAAUUUCCCCAAAGCAUUCAGUUUGCUUCAUAUACCACCAAAUGAUCAGUAUUCUAUCAAAGUUAAUUAAAAUAAAAAAUGAGGGAAAUUGUUAGUAAUAUUAUAAAAAUCAAUCCGUCCUGCAUAUUUUUUCUGGCUGUUACAUCAAUCUUGCAUAUGCUGUCUAAUAACAGGAGUAUCAUAGGAAUAAAAAUGGGAACAUUAUUUUUAAAAUCAGUGAUUUUGUUUUCCAACAAAUCAUCUAAUACUUUCAUAAAUAAUGAUAGAAAAGAUCUCAGCUAAUCACUCUGAGUUUACUUCGUGUCUGGAAAUUUUCACUGCAAGGAAGUAUCCUUGCAGCAUUUAAACUCAGAAUUUCUCUAAGUUUUAAUGAGAAUUUUUUUGC